RNAcentral lists this long non-coding RNA (567 nucleotides) under Triticum aestivum (bread wheat). RNAcentral's name for it is "long non-coding RNA (TAES_LNC009782)". Lineage: Eukaryota; Viridiplantae; Streptophyta; Magnoliopsida; Poales; Poaceae. The record is from RNAcentral.
AAAGACUGCUAAUAUUAGAAGUUGAAGGUGCAUUACUACACUACAAAUUACCUAUUAUCGUUCUCUCUUUCAAAUGUUGGUUGUAUCUGUCUAAUAAUGCAGAGAUGGUAUAACUUUGGAGCUUUUGACACAAUUUCCACAAUGUUUUCUGCUUGAGUCAUAGAAAAAUUAUGAGAAUAACUCCUGAUUGAAUAGUACCAAGUUUGUUCGACUGAUAUGAUAUUGCAUGCUCUGCAGGAAUCUACAGUUACAUUCUGGUGGCUGAGAUGUAGAAACGAGUUGUUGGUGUAGUUUCUCCCAUUCUAAAGGUCGACUGCAGAGAUUGAGCCUCUAUGUAGCAUGCAUUGGUCAGCUGUUAAAUGAACUUGUAGGAACUAAUCGCUUGGAUUUAUCUAUUAUCUAACUUAUGUAGACAUUCUCGGCUGGCAUGAAGGAACAUUAAUUUGCUUCCAUUAAUUAGUACUUGUCCCUCUCGGUUCGCUUAAUUUGCAAGCAAGUAUGUUCCAGUUUUCUGUGUCUUUUUGUUGAUUUUGUUAUCUAAUUCUGUCUAGUGAAUGUGAACUGCAG